CAGAAAGGCAAGAGACCACCUUACUGAGCUUCAAACUGGGGCUGGGAACGCUGCCAUGAAUUGGGCUUGGUCUGUCUGAAGGGAGCCACCUUUUCGACAAUCCUUAGACUUCUUUUGCCUGUUGGAAUUACACCUUGGAUCGUGGCGAAGUCUAUAGAGGUCAGAUUAAGAAGAACCAAAGCAGAAUAAACGUAGAACCCGAUGCUGAGUUCACGAGUGAGGACGACCUCUUCCUAUAUGCUUUGCUAUACCCUGCGUUUUGAACAUUAAGGACGAGAUAGGAGGCCCAUAAUGUUUCUUCUUGCUUUAAUCCUGUCGUGGCAACGUUGACUUCCACCUGGUUGCAGAGUGAGCCCAUGGGACAGCCCUCUGAAAUUAUACUGCUUACAACCAUGCUGAGUCUGCAAGGACUUCGUCCAAGCCUUUCCGUCCAGGACCUCAAACAGAUCCAAUCACAAGAAGAGAGAUUUCAGGAAAGAGAAAAUUAUUCCUAUCAUCGGGGUUUUUGAAGAACAUGAAAUGACUGGGAAAAUAAUCAUGUUAAGUGGAAAAAAAAAAGAAAUCUAUCUGUUGUAAUUUUCAAAUAAUUUUUAAAUAAAUUUGAAAAAUUAAGAGAACUAUAUAUAUAA
Molecule: long non-coding RNA, 629 nt
Filed under: Homo sapiens (human)
Lineage: Eukaryota; Metazoa; Chordata; Mammalia; Primates; Hominidae
Description: non-protein coding lnc-PCNX1-2:18
Source: RNAcentral